GUGAACGCUGGCGGCGUGCUUAACACAUGCAAGUCGAACGAUGAAAUCUAGCUUGCUAGAUGGAUUAGUGGCGCACGGGUGAGUAAUAGAUAGGUUACCUGCCUCAUAGUCCGGGACAACAAUUGGAAACGAUUGCUAAUACCGGAUAUUCCCUACGGGGGAAAGAUUUAUCGCUAUGAGAUGGGCCUAUCUCCUAUCAGCUAGUUGGUAAGGUAAUGGCUUACCAAGGCAAUGACGGGUAGCUGGUCUUAGAGGACGAUCAGCCACACUGGAACUGAGACACGGUCCAGACUCCUACGGGAGGCAGCAGUGGGGAAUAUUGCACAAUGGGGGAAACCCUGAUGCAGCAACGCCGCGUGGAGGAUGACGCAUUUCGGUGUGUAAACUCCUUUUAUCAAGGAAGAAAUUUGACGGUACUUGAUGAAUAAGCACCGGCUAACUCCGUGCCAGCAGCCGCGGUAAUACGGAGGGUGCAAGCGUUACUCGGAAUUACUGGGCGUAAAGGACGCGUAGGCGGUUUGAUAAGUUAGAUGUGAAAUCCUAUGGCUUAACCAUAGAACUGCAUCUAAAACUGUCGGACUAGAGUGAGGGAGAGGUCAGUGGAAUUAGUGGUGUAGGGGUAAAAUCCGUAGAGAUCACUAGGAAUACUCAUAGCGAAGGCGACUGACUGGAACUUUACUGACGCUGAGGCGUGAAAGCGUGGGGAGCAAACAGGAUUAGAUACCCUGGUAGUCCACGCCCUAAACGAUGUACACUAGUUGUUGCGAUGCAAGUCAUCGCAGUAAUGCAGCUAACGCAUUAAGUGUACCGCCUGGGGAGUACGGUCGCAAGAUUAAAACUCAAAGGAAUAGACGGGGACCCGCACAAGCGGUGGAGCAUGUGGUUUAAUUCGAAGAUACGCGAAGAACCUUACCUGGACUUGACAUCCUAUAAAGGAUUUAGAGAUAGAUUUGUGCUAGUUUACUAGAAUAUAGUGACAGGUGCUGCACGGCUGUCGUCAGCUCGUGUCGUGAGAUGUUGGGUUAAGUCCCGCAACGAGCGCAACCCUCG
This 1050-nucleotide ribosomal RNA is filed under the name uncultured Campylobacterota bacterium. RNAcentral describes it as "bacterial SSU rRNA". It matches the Rfam family "Bacterial small subunit ribosomal RNA", at positions 29 to 1107 of the family's 1533-position model. Lineage: Bacteria; Pseudomonadati; Campylobacterota. The record is from RNAcentral.